GGGGAGCUAGAGCUCUGCUGCAUUGGGCUGCUCCCAUACAGAGAGGCUGCAGCAGUGGUCACGCAUCCCUCCACAGCUUGCUGAUUUUGCAAGAGAGGAGGAAGAAGGAUCAUUUUGCGGUCCAGAUGCUGUCAAACACAAGCAACCAGUGGAAGAAAUGGCACAAUGAGCAGACAAGCAUGUGGAAGCAGUUUAUGAAGGAAUAGUUAAACACAGAGCUUUGUCCUGGCCGAUGCUUUGAAUCUCUCAGUAUUUCCUCCCACAAAAAAUUCAAAGGGUGCUACAUACUAAUAUGAGUCAAAGGAGGAGGAUGAUGAGGAUGGACUCUACAAUUUGUGCUUGAAACCACACUGUGCAGCGUGGCCAUAUGUCCCUACCAGCUGGUGCUAAUAGCCAUGUCAUCUUGGUCCCAACACUGAACUCUAACAUGAGAUGGGAAUGCUACUUACCUCUGUUGUAUUACCUGUGUUACUGGUCGUGCGUGAGACUUUGUAAGUAGAAGGACCAUAUCUCACAUUGGGCCCAGAAGUCAUCUGGAAGCUGUUGCAGAGUGGAAGAUCAUCAUUCAGUGAGGUGGUACACUGUACAUGGUCUGUAGCCUACAACUGCUACAUACUUCCUGACAUGAUCAAUCAGAGCUCAGCUUCAUCAGAUGAGGUCAUCAGCUCUCCUGUCUCACCUGGAGAUCUCUCAGACCAGGGCUGUUUGCAUAUCUCAUAGUGUCUAAAGUAGAGAAUGACUUGGCAAUCAUGAUAUCAAGAUGAUCUUAUCAUAAACUUUCCAGUGACUCAACACAAGAAAAUAUUUUUUUGGUAGUAGAGGACAGGAUAACAAGAAGGUUUGAUUUCCUGAGCACUGCUUUAAGAGAUGUUAAUAUCUUCCUGUCCACAAAAACAAACAAAGAACGUUUUGAAUAAUCUGUAGAUUGCAGGUCUGAAAUUUCCUCAUCAGUCUUUUGUCAGUCAAAUGCAGAUUUCUGAAUUACAGAUCUGAGGAUUUCAAUCUAUCUCAAACCUUAAGAAGAAGAUGCUGCAAAACAUGUUCAUACAAUAAAUAAAAUCAUUGAUACAUAUGUGCUACAGAUCAGUGUUUCAUGAUUACUGAUUGUCCCUGAAACCAAAUACCUGUAGCAGAAUGGAAAACUUCCAUGUAGUAAGGAAUCCUUAUUUAAUGAAAGAAAUAAAUGCAUUCACCACUUGAAAUAGUUCUUCUUCUCAUGGCUUUCAAACGACUGUGGCGAGCCAAUCUUUCCAAUUUUCAUUGUAACUAUUGUAAUAAUUAUGAAAAAGACUCUGAACCGUACCAAAAGCAGGCUGAUACCUUCCUUCCUGGGCUGCUGUGUUGCAAGGUGAACAAAGAGAAAGAUGCUCAGCCAGAGAAGAUAGCAAGGCCAGCUUGUAUUGAUAGUUGAGGUUACGUGGUAUUCAGGAAAUGGCAACACUGAGGUCAGGCAUGAAUUCAUUUUAGGAGGAUUUGAGUAUAGCUACUGCUUGCACUUGAAGAUGAAAUCAGAUUUAUUUUUAAAACUGUGAGGGGUAUCUUUCCUUGUAUACAUUGAAUGUUUGAAAUUUGAUUGUUUUUUUUUUUUUCCUGCUUUAGACAUUUGAACAUAGACAAUAACUUAGUUAUUUGUGAACAUCCAAAACAAACAGUAACAUAAACACAACAUUCUAAACCAGUAUCUGCAAAAUGCAUGUCAGAAGCACCAACAGACUUAAUGCAUUUGUUAUAAUGAUCUUUUGUGUACAACACAGUAAAGUGCCUUUGUGUGACCACAGAGGAUAUCUGCUUUCCCUUGUAUUUCAGCUAGGAGUAAUGUUGCAAAACAAGAGUCAAGGUGAGACCAACACUUGGUGCUGAGUUUUCUGGGUUAUUCCUUAAGAAAAGUACUUGUGAAAUAUAGUUUAUGUAGCUAAAAGAAUGAUUUUACUAGUCCAAACAUAAUUAAAAUAAAGACAGAAGGAAAUCCUUGAGGAUACUCACUCUGCUUUGGAGAACCAUGUUAUCGCAACACUUGACUGACCACUUCUGACCUUGUAUUGCAGCUGGUGUAUUUAUUCUGAAAUGUAUUUUCUGUACUAAAGCUUUGUUCCUAUCCUGUCCUUAAUGUGGUUUCUCACCAGGGCCUCAUAAGAAAUAACUCAUUGCCAGGUAUUUCACGAACUCUUGUAUGAACAAGCCUGCACAGAUCGAUAUGUUGCUGCAGUGGUACCAGAAAUUAUUGCUGCUUUUAGCCCAGAGAUAGCUAUGAGACUAAAUCCUGCUUUACAGCAAGCAGAACUUAUUGAUUAAGCUGGGUAUUUCUAAAUGGCAUCAAUUUGUACAGUCAAGCCAUAAUCCAUUUAUGCUAUUUUUUUUUCCUCUGCUUAAUAACCCCGUUGUUCAUAUGUUUGUUUGCUAAUGCAUAGCUCUUCUAAUUUCUGCAUUGUGGUUUACAGACAGUCUCAGUUUCCUGUUUCACUGGAAAACUCAUCAAAUGAUGGAGAACUAACUCUCAGCAGGACUAAUUCUCCUUCUUCUUGUCUUCCUGUGAGGCACCUACUACUUUCAGUUUCAGAGAAAAGAUCCUCACACCUCUGGGUUUCUGGAGAGCAGCAAUUCUGAUGAGCGUUUCAAUACCUGGCCUAUUUUUGGCCAAGUAGUUUUUUCUCCAGCUGUUAUGUGUUGCUCAGUAGUCACUUUGAAGCAUCCACAUUGGGUAUGAUCACUUCAUCAGAACUCAGUUAAGGGAUUAUUUACACAUAGUUCAGCACACAGUCCCAGACAGUUACUGUAAGAUAAUUUGGAUGCCACAGAAUCUGACUGCAAAUUGGUUGUACUAUCAUGAACCAUUUCUAGAGCUUUACAUAUUGAUAUAUGCAAUCAUACUUCCUGAGUCACCUCUCCUGUAAAUGAAAUAUUAUAAUUCAUAUGUUAAGCACAUUUACUUGUUGAGGAUUGCAUUUCCCUAGUGCCUUUUGAGAAGAAACAGAUGAAAUUAGCACAGAAUUUAUAUAUAUAUAUUUAAUUUCAAUAAGCUUUGUAUUUUUCUUGAGAAUAUGUGUUGCAAAUUUUUUUUCUGGCCUUUGAGACAAAUUUCCUGUAUUCCAUGGUUCGGAGUAAUGGUUAUCACAGCCUGAUGUCCUUGUGUAGCGUUGACCUGUGUGGAGGUACCAGCUUCAUAGUGAGAUCCGGCUAUCAGCUCUGCUUGCUGCAGCAGCUGUAUUGCUGGGUUCUUGUGCUCUGACCGAUCUGUUUUUGGAGCUAGCAGCUUCUCUGUCUGAUCAGGUAACUCUGAACUGUUUCCCAGUAUGUGCUAUAGAUGCACCCAAAUUUUCCUCUUGAGAUCAUUGCCCAGCUUCACUGUCUGCUGCUGGAGGCUGUUGUCUUUCUUUCAGUAACAAAGAAGUUUUCACAAAUAUGGUACAGGUUUUUUUUUCUAUUAAAAUGUAAUACUGAAGUCUAAACCAGCUGUAAUUGAUUCCAAGAUUCAUAAGUCAUGCUUUUCUGAACUUCUCAAGAAAUCACUGAGGAAAUGUGAGCGUUGAACUACAAUGUUUUGGUUUCAAUCUACGAGAAAAACUGCAUAACUUAAAUCAUUUAUCCUGGUGAUCACUUCCUUUUUGCAAACAGUUCUUGGUUGGUGUACUUGUUUAGAUAGACAUGAAUACAGAACUUUCUGUAUCGUAGUCUGGCUUGCUAUGUGCUUGAUUUAAUGCAUUACAAAUACUCACCUUGGAAGAUACAGGGAGAUGGGGCCUAACAACUUUCAGGAACAGUUUGGAUCAUUGACUGAAUUCAUGGACUCACAGAUCACUGCCCCAAUGUUAUUUAAGCUGCUCCUCAAACUUAGGCUCUUUGGAAAAAGCCUGCUGUCUGUAACAAUUAUCCUAGACAAAUAUGGUCCUCUGCUCUCUGUGGUUUAUCUUUAUAAAUUUUUGGCAUAAAACUGAAAGAACUCCUACUUGAUUGGAGGAAAUGGUCUCCAGUUGUGCCAGAGGAGGCUUAGAUCGGAUUCCUGCUAUACUACUUAACUAUGGUUAUAGGAUUGCAGGUCCCAGAGUCCCAUUUAGUACACCACGGGAUCUAAGACAGAUAAUUGCUGCUCUCUGUUGCUUGUGUAGCCUUGCAAGGGAUAGGCACAAAGAAGAACAUUUGGAUCCAAAAAUCAUCACGUUCUGAAUAUGGA
Non-coding RNA from Meleagris gallopavo (turkey), 4168 nucleotides. The record is from RefSeq and is a predicted model, not a curated record. NCBI's taxonomy places the organism in Eukaryota, Metazoa, Chordata, Aves, Galliformes, Phasianidae.